UCCGUUAUGGUCUAGUGGCUAGGAUUCCGCGCUUUCAAAGCAAAGCUCCGCGGCGGCCGGGGUUCGAUUCCCCGUAACGGAA
Molecule: non-coding RNA, 82 nt
Organism: Paraphysoderma sedebokerense
Lineage: Eukaryota; Fungi; Blastocladiomycota; Physodermatomycetes; Physodermatales; Physodermataceae
Source: the annotation of a GenBank genome assembly